CCUGCCUCCCAGAGACAUUGGAGGUCUGUAUUUUGUGUCAUAUGAGUGUCAGUAGGAGGCAGAGAAGAGAGAGGCUAUGUCUAUGCUCAGCUCACUGUCCUGAUAUCUGAAUGUCUGAAUGAUAAGUAGCCUAACAUU
Small nucleolar RNA from Grammomys surdaster, 138 nucleotides. RefSeq annotates it as small nucleolar RNA SNORA17. The record is from RefSeq and is a predicted model, not a curated record. Lineage: Eukaryota; Metazoa; Chordata; Mammalia; Rodentia; Muridae. The transcript has a single exon.